AAAUUGAAGAGUUUGAUCAUGGCUCAGAUUGAACGCUGGCGGCAGGCCUAACACAUGCAAGUCGAACGGUAACAGGAAGCAGCUUGCUGCUUCGCUGACGAGUGGCGGACGGGUGAGUAAUGUCUGGGAAACUGCCUGAUGGAGGGGGAUAACUACUGGAAACGGUAGCUAAUACCGCAUAAUGUCGCAAGACCAAAGAGGGGGACCUUCGGGCCUCUUGCCAUCGGAUGUGCCCAGAUGGGAUUAGCUUGUUGGUGGGGUAACGGCUCACCAAGGCGACGAUCCCUAGCUG
RNAcentral lists this ribosomal RNA (292 nucleotides) under Shigella sonnei. RNAcentral's name for it is "partial 16S ribosomal RNA". It matches the Rfam family "Bacterial small subunit ribosomal RNA", at positions 1 to 289 of the family's 1533-position model. Lineage: Bacteria; Pseudomonadati; Pseudomonadota; Gammaproteobacteria; Enterobacterales; Enterobacteriaceae. The record is from RNAcentral.